UAGCUAGUUGGUGAGGUAACGGCUUACCAAGGCGACGAUCUGUAGCGGGUCUGAGAGGAUGAUCCGCCACACUGGAACUGAGACACGGUCCAGACUCCUACGGGAGGCAGCAGUGGGGAAUUUUGGACAAUGGGGGCAACCCUGAUCCAGCCAUGCCGCGUGAGUGAAGAAGGCCUUCGGGUUGUAAAGCUCUUUCGGCCGGGAAGAAAUCGCAUGGGCCAAUACCCUGUGUGGAUGACGGUACCGGAAUAAGAAGCACCGGCUAACUACGUGCCAGCAGCCGCGGUAAUACGUAGGGUGCGAGCGUUAAUCGGAAUUACUGGGCGUAAAGCGUGCGCAGGCGGUUUUGUAAGACAGGCGUGAAAUCCCCGGGCUCAACCUGGGAACUGCGUUUGUGACUGCAAGGCUAGAGUACGGCAGAGGGGGGUGGAAUUCCACGUGUAGCAGUGAAAUGCGUAGAGAUGUGGAGGAACACCAAUGGCGAAGGCAGCCCCCUGGGUCGAUACUGACACCCAUGCACGAAAGCGUGGGUAGCAAACAGGAUUAGAUACCCUGGUAGUCCACGCCCUAAACUAUGUCAACUAGGUGUUGGGUGGGUAAAACCAUUUAGUACCGUAGCUAACGCGUGAAGUUGACCGCCUGGGGAGUACGGCCGCAAGGUUAAAACUCAAAGGAAUUGACGGGGACCCGCACAAGCGGUGGAUGAUGUGGAUUAAUUCGAUGCAACGCGAAAAACCUUACCUACCCUUGACAUGCCAGGAACUUGCCAGAGGUGGCUUGGUGCCCGAAAGGGAGCCUGGACACAGGUGCUGCAUGGCUGUCGUCAGCUCGUGUCGUGAGAUGUUGGGUUAAGUCCCGCAACGAGCGCAACCCUUGUCGUUAAUUGCCAUCAUUUAGUUGGGCACUUUAGCGAGACUGCCGGUGACAAACCGGAGGAAGGUGGGGAUGACGUCAAGUCCUCAUGGCCCUUAUGGGUAGGGCUUCACACGUCAUACAAUGGUCGGUACAAAGGGUCGCCAAGCCGCGAGGUGGAGCCAAUCCCAGGAAGCCGAUCGUAGUCCGGAUUGCAGGCUGCAACUCGCCUGCAUGAAGUCGGAAUCGCUAGUAAUCGUGGAUCAGCAUAUCACGGUGAAUACGUUCCCGGGUCUUGUACACACCGCCCGUCACACCAUGGGAGCGGGUUCCGCCAGAAGUAGGUAGCCUAACCGCAAGGAGGGCGCUUACCACGGCGGGGUUCGUGACUGGGGUGAAGUCGUAACAAGGUAGCCGUAGGGGAACCUGCGGCUG
RNAcentral lists this ribosomal RNA (1287 nucleotides) under metagenome. Its description in RNAcentral is "bacterial SSU rRNA". It matches the Rfam family "Bacterial small subunit ribosomal RNA", at positions 242 to 1520 of the family's 1533-position model. The record is from RNAcentral.